AAGCGUACACGGUGGAUGCCCUGGCAGUCAGAGGCGAUGAAGGGCGUGCUAAUCUGCGAUAAGCGCCGGUAAGGUGAUAUGAACCGUUAUAACCGGCGAUACCCGAAUGGGGAAACCCAGUGUGAUUCGUCACACUAUCAUUAACUGAAUCCAUAGGUUAAUGAGGCGAACCGGGGGAACUGAAACAUCUAAGUACCCCGAGGAAAAGAAAUCAACCGAGAUUCCCCCAGUAGCGGCGAGCGAACGGGGAGGAGCCCAGAGCCUGAAUCAGCAUGUGUGUUAGUGGAAGCGUCUGGAAAGGCGCGCGAUACAGGGUGACAGCCCCGUACACAAAAGCGCAUGUGUUGUGAGCUCGAUGAGUAGGGCGGGACACGUGGUAUCCUGUCUGAAUAUGGGGGGACCAUCCUCCAAGGCUAAAUACUCCUGACUGACCGAUAGUGAACCAGUACCGUGAGGGAAAGGCGAAAAGAACCCCGGCGAGGGGAGUGAAAAAGAACCUGAAACCGUGUACGUACAAGCAGUGGGAGCACCCUUUUGGGUGUGACUGCGUACCUUUUGUAUAAUGGGUCAGCGACUUAUAUUCUGUAGCAAGGUUAACCGAAUAGGGGAGCCGGAGGGAAACCGAGUCUUAAUUGGGCGUUAAGUUGCAGGGUAUAGACCCGAAACCCGGUGAUCUAGCCAUGGGCAGGUUGAAGGUUGGGUAACACUAACUGGAGGACCGAACCGACUAAUGUUGAAAAAUUAGCGGAUGACCUGUGGCUGGGGGUGAAAGGCCAAUCAAACCGGGAGAUAGCUGGUUCUCCCCGAAAGCUAUUUAGGUAGCGCCUCGUGAACUCAUCUCCGGGGGUAGAGCACUGUUUCGGCUAGGGGGCCAUCCCGGCUUACCAACCCGAUGCAAACUGCGAAUACCGGAGAAUGUUAUCACGGGAGACACACGGCGGGUGCUAACGUCCGUCGUGAAGAGGGAAACAACCCAGACCGCCAGCUAAGGUCCCAAAGUCAUGGUUAAGUGGGAAACGAUGUGGGAAGGCCCAGACAGCCAGGAUGUUGGCUUAGAAGCAGCCAUCAUUUAAAGAAAGCGUAAUAGCUCACUGGUCGAGUCGGCCUGCGCGGAAGAUGUAACGGGGCUAAACCAUGCACCGAAGCUGCGGCAGCGACGCUCAGGCGUUGUUGGGUAGGGGAGCGUUCUGUAAGCCUGUGAAGGUGGCCUGUGAGGGUUGCUGGAGGUAUCAGAAGUGCGAAUGCUGACAUAAGUAACGAUAAAGCGGGUGAAAAGCCCGCUCGCCGGAAGACCAAGGGUUCCUGUCCAACGUUAAUCGGGGCAGGGUGAGUCGACCCCUAAGGCGAGGCCGAAAGGCGUAGUCGAUGGGAAACGGGUUAAUAUUCCCGUACUUGGUGUUACUGCGAAGGGGGGACGGAGAAGGCUAUGUUGGCCGGGCGACGGUUGUCCCGGUUUAAGCGUGUAGGUGUGUGUUCCAGGUAAAUCCGGUUCACUUUAACACUGAGGCGUGACGACGAGGCACUACGGUGCUGAAGCAACAAAUGCCCUGCUUCCAGGAAAAGCCUCUAAGCAUCAGGUAACAUCAAAUCGUACCCCAAACCGACACAGGUGGUCAGGUAGAGAAUACCAAGGCGCUUGAGAGAACUCGGGUGAAGGAACUAGGCAAAAUGGUGCCGUAACUUCGGGAGAAGGCACGCUGACACGUAGGUGAAGUGAUUUACUCAUGGAGCUGAAGUCAGUCGAAGAUACCAGCUGGCUGCAACUGUUUAUUAAAAACACAGCACUGUGCAAACACGAAAGUGGACGUAUACGGUGUGACGCCUGCCCGGUGCCGGAAGGUUAAUUGAUGGGGUCAGCGCAAGCGAAGCUCCUGAUCGAAGCCCCGGUAAACGGCGGCCGUAACUAUAACGGUCCUAAGGUAGCGAAAUUCCUUGUCGGGUAAGUUCCGACCUGCACGAAUGGCGUAAUGAUGGCCAGGCUGUCUCCACCCGAGACUCAGUGAAAUUGAACUCGCUGUGAAGAUGCAGUGUACCCGCGGCAAGACGGAAAGACCCCGUGAACCUUUACUAUAGCUUGACACUGAACAUUGAGCCUUGAUGUGUAGGAUAGGUGGGAGGCUUUGAAGCGUGGACGCCAGUCUGCGUGGAGCCGACCUUGAAAUACCACCCUUUAAUGUUUGAUGUUCUAACGUGGACCCGUUACCCGGGUUGCGGACAGUGUCUGGUGGGUAGUUUGACUGGGGCGGUCUCCUCCUAAAGAGUAACGGAGGAGCACGAAGGUUGGCUAAUCCUGGUCGGACAUCAGGAGGUUAGUGCAAUGGCAUAAGCCAGCUUGACUGCGAGCGUGACGGCGCGAGCAGGUGCGAAAGCAGGUCAUAGUGAUCCGGUGGUUCUGAAUGGAAGGGCCAUCGCUCAACGGAUAAAAGGUACUCCGGGGAUAACAGGCUGAUACCGCCCAAGAGUUCAUAUCGACGGCGGUGUUUGGCACCUCGAUGUCGGCUCAUCACAUCCUGGGGCUGAAGUAGGUCCCAAGGGUAUGGCUGUUCGCCAUUUAAAGUGGUACGCGAGCUGGGUUUAGAACGUCGUGAGACAGUUCGGUCCCUAUCUGCCGUGGGCGCUGGAGAACUGAGGGGGGCUGCUCCUAGUACGAGAGGACCGGAGUGGACGCAUCACUGGUGUUCGGGUUGUCAUGCCAAUGGCACUGCCCGGUAGCUAAAUGCGGAAGAGAUAAGUGCUGAAAGCAUCUAAGCACGAAACUUGCCCCGAGAUGAGUUCUCCCUGAGACUUAGAGUCUCCUGAAGGAACGUUGAAGACGACGACGUUGAUAGGCCGGGUGUGUAAGCGCAGCGAUGCGUUGAGCUA
This 2862-nucleotide ribosomal RNA is filed under the name Salmonella enterica subsp. enterica serovar Oslo. RNAcentral describes it as "partial 23S ribosomal RNA". It matches the Rfam family "Bacterial large subunit ribosomal RNA". The record is from RNAcentral. Lineage: Bacteria; Pseudomonadati; Pseudomonadota; Gammaproteobacteria; Enterobacterales; Enterobacteriaceae.